UACGAGGCAGCAGUGGGGAAUAUUGCACAAUGGGCGCAAGCCUGAUGCAGCCAUGCCGCGUGUAUGAAGAAGGCCUUCGGGUUGUAAAGUACUUUCAGUCGUGAGGAAGGUGUUAAGGUUAAUAACCUUAGCAAUUGACGUUAGCGACAGAAGAAGCACCGGCUAACUCCGUGCCAGCAGCCGCGGUAAUACGGAGGGUGCGAGCGUUAAUCGGAAUUACUGGGCGUAAAGGGCACGCAGGCGGUUAAUUAAGUUGGAUGUGAAAUCCCCGGGCUUAACCUGGGAAUGGCAUUCAAGACUGGUUAGCUAGAGUCUUGUAGAGGGGGUAGAAUUCCAUGUGUAGCGGUGAAAUGCGUAGAGAUGUGGAGGAAUACCGGUGGCGAAGGCGGCCCCUGGACAAAGGCUGACGCUCAUGUGCGAAAGCGUGGGGAGCAAAC
This 437-nucleotide ribosomal RNA is filed under the name uncultured bacterium. Its description in RNAcentral is "bacterial SSU rRNA". It matches the Rfam family "Bacterial small subunit ribosomal RNA", at positions 340 to 773 of the family's 1533-position model. The record is from RNAcentral.